This 326-nucleotide ribosomal RNA is filed under the name uncultured eukaryote. Its description in RNAcentral is "partial 18S ribosomal RNA". It matches the Rfam family "Eukaryotic small subunit ribosomal RNA", at positions 1470 to 1796 of the family's 1831-position model. The record is from RNAcentral.
CCCUUAGAUGUCCUGGGCCGCACGCGCGCUACACUGAACGGAUCAGCGCGUUUUCCCUUCCCGAGAGGGACGGGUAACCUGCUGAACCCCGUUCGUGGUAGGGAUCGGGGCUUGCAAUUAUUCCCCGUGAACCAGGAAUGCCCAGUAAGUGCAAGUCAUAAGCUUGCGUUGAUUACGUCCCUGCCCUUUGUACACACCGCCCGUCGCUACUACCGAUUGAACGUUUUAGUGAGGUACUCGGACUGAGCCUCAGAAGAUUCACGUCUUUUGUGCUGCUCGGGAAGAUUCCCAAACUUGAGCGUUUAGAGGAAGUAAAANUCGUAGCA